Molecule: long non-coding RNA, 475 nt
Organism: Salvia splendens (bonfire salvia)
Lineage: Eukaryota; Viridiplantae; Streptophyta; Magnoliopsida; Lamiales; Lamiaceae
Exons: 2
Source: RefSeq, a predicted model, not a curated record
AACUUAUGCCCAAGAAAAUGGUCUUUUCUUUUUGGAAACUUCUGCAAAGACAGCAGCCAACGUCAACGAAGUAUUUUAUGAAAUAGCAAAGAGAUUACCACGGCUGCAGCAGACACCAAACCCAUCGGGCAUGGUCCUCGUGGAUCGACCAGCGGAAAGGGCAAACAGUGCUUCCUGUUGUUCUUGAAAAUUCGACCGUAUCAAGCUCGUGUUAUGUCCAUACCAGUGAGAUCUUACUCUUGUGUACCCUCCAUAUUUGUACAUAUGAUUUCAGCUUUAUAUAUGCAUUUCCCAUUUAGUUGAAGAACCACAGCUCAAUAUGUCACAUGAAAUCUCUGGUCCAUUUACACAAUCACAAAAUUAGAAUGUUGUGAAAAUAAAACAAAAUUGAGCGUUUGGAAGUAGUGUGUUUUAUUAAGUUUUGUAAGUUGGUUUUAUGAAUGGUAUGGCUUAUAAUUUAGCCCAGUCUUAUUGA